This 264-nucleotide ribosomal RNA is filed under the name uncultured bacterium. RNAcentral's name for it is "partial 16S ribosomal RNA". It matches the Rfam family "Bacterial small subunit ribosomal RNA", at positions 793 to 1055 of the family's 1533-position model. The record is from RNAcentral.
GUCCAUGCCGUAAACGAUGUCAACUAGCCGUUGGGGACCUUGAGUCUUUAGUGGCGCAGCUAACGCGAUAAGUUGACCGCCUGGGGAGUACGGCCGCAAGGUUAAAACUCAAAUGAAUUGACGGGGGCCCCGCACAAGCGGUGGAGUAUGUGGUUUAAUUCGAUGCAACGCGAAGAACCUUACCUGGCCUUGACAUAUCCGGAACCCUGCAGAGAUGCGGGGGUGCCUUCGGGAAUCGGAAUACAGGUGCUGCAUGGCUGUCGU